UCCCGCUUGGCUCAGGGGUAGAGCGUGUCACUAGUAUAUUCUGGGUAUGACAAGGUCAGUCGUUCAAAUCGGCUAGCGGGAA
Molecule: non-coding RNA, 82 nt
Organism: Favolaschia claudopus
Lineage: Eukaryota; Fungi; Basidiomycota; Agaricomycetes; Agaricales; Mycenaceae
Source: the annotation of a GenBank genome assembly